Molecule: ribosomal RNA, 244 nt
Filed under: uncultured bacterium
Lineage: Bacteria
Description: partial small subunit ribosomal RNA
Rfam family: Bacterial small subunit ribosomal RNA
Source: RNAcentral
AGAAUCAACGCUGGCGGCGUGCCUAACACAUGCAAGUCGAACGAGAAGGUGGAGCAAUCCAUGAGUAAAGUGGCGACCGGGUGAGUAACACGUGACUAACCUACCUUCGAGUGGGGGAUAACCUCGGGAAAACCGAGGCUAAUACCGCAUAACAUCGUGAGAUCAAAGCAGUAAUGCGCUGGAAGAGGGGGUCGCGGCUGAUUAGCUAGUUGGCGGGUAAUGGCCCACAAGGCGAAGAUCGGUA